GAUGAACGCUAGCGGAAGGCCUAAUACAUGCAAGUCGAACGGGCAUAUUGAUUUCGGUUGAUAUGUUAGUGGCGCACGGGUGAGUAACGCGUACACAACCUGCCUUAUAUUGGGGGAUAGCCCUGGGAAACUGGGAGUAAUACCGCAUAAUAUUAUUGAGAGGCAUCUUUUGGAAUUAAAGCUGAGGCGAUAUAAGAUGGGUGUGCGUCUGAUUAGGUAGUUGGUAGGGUAACGGCCUACCAAGCCGACGAUCAGUAGGGGGUNUGAGAGCAUGGCCCCCCANACGGGUACUGAGACACGGACCCGA
RNAcentral lists this ribosomal RNA (307 nucleotides) under uncultured bacterium. Its description in RNAcentral is "bacterial SSU rRNA". It matches the Rfam family "Bacterial small subunit ribosomal RNA", at positions 28 to 335 of the family's 1533-position model. The record is from RNAcentral.